Molecule: ribosomal RNA, 401 nt
Filed under: uncultured bacterium
Lineage: Bacteria
Description: bacterial SSU rRNA
Rfam family: Bacterial small subunit ribosomal RNA
Source: RNAcentral
GGGGGAUAUUGCGCAAUGGGGGCAACCCUGACGCAGCAACGCCGCGUGAAGGAUGAAGGUUUUCGGAUUGUAAACUUCUUUUAUUAAGGACGAAACUUGACGGUACUUAAUGAAUAAGCUCCGGCUAACUACGUGCCAGCAGCCGCGGUAAUACGUAGGGAGCGAGCGUUGUCCGGAUUUACUGGGUGUAAAGGGUGCGUAGGCGGCUUUGCAAGUCAGAUGUGAAAUCUAUGGGCUCAACCCAUAAACUGCAUUUGAAACUGUAGAGCUUGAGUGAAGUAGAGGCAGGCGGAAUUCCCCGUGUAGCGGUGAAAUGCGUAGAGAUGGGGAGGAACACCAGUGGCGAAGGCGGCCUGCUGGGCUGUAACUGACGCUGAGGCACGAAAGCGUGGGUAGCAAAC